CAAAGGUUUGGUCCUGGCCUUCCUAUUAGUUAUUAACAGAAUUACACAUGCAAGCCUCCACAUCCCGGUGAAGAUGCCCUCUAAAUCCAUAAACGAUUAAAAGGAGCGGGCAUCAGGCACACUAAAUAAGUAGCCCAUAACGCCUUGCUCAACCACACCCCCACGGGAUACAGCAGUGAUAAAAAUUAAGCCAUGAACGAAAGUUUGACUAAGCCAUGUUAAUAUUAAGAGUUGGUAAAUUUCGUGCCAGCCACCGCGGUCAUACGAUUAACCCAAAUUAAUAGGCUCACGGCGUAAAACGUGCUAAGGAUUACAAAACACUAAAGUUAAAAUUUAACCAGGCCGUAAAAAGCUACUGUUAACAUAAAAUAUACCACGAAAGUGACUUUAUCAUCUCCAACAACACGAUAGCUGGGACCCAAACUGGGAUUAGAUACCCCACUAUGCCCAGCCCUAAACACAAACAAUUUACACAACAAAAU
This 482-nucleotide ribosomal RNA is filed under the name Martes martes (European pine marten). RNAcentral describes it as "partial 12S ribosomal RNA". Lineage: Eukaryota; Metazoa; Chordata; Mammalia; Carnivora; Mustelidae. The record is from RNAcentral.